This 470-nucleotide ribosomal RNA is filed under the name uncultured bacterium. RNAcentral's name for it is "SSU rRNA". It matches the Rfam family "Bacterial small subunit ribosomal RNA", at positions 26 to 518 of the family's 1533-position model. The record is from RNAcentral.
AGGACUAACGCUGGCGGCGUGCCUAACACAUGCAAGUCGAACGGACUGUAGCAAUACAGUUAGUGGCAGACGGGUGAGUAACGCGUAGAUAACGUGCCCCUCCGCUGGGGAUAGCCACUGGAAACGGUGGGUAAAACCGAAUACUCUUGCCUGAGGACAUCCUCGGGUAAGGAAAACUUUCGAGUGCGGAGGGAGCGGUUUGCGUCCUAUUAGCUAGUUGGUAAGGUAAAAGCUUACCAAGGCGACGAUGGGUAGCCGGUCUGAGAGGAUGAUCGGCCACACUGGCACUGAGAUACGGGCCAGACUCUUACGGGAGGCAGCAGUGAGGGAUUUUGCGCAAUGGAGGAAACUCUGACGCAGCGACGCCGCGUGCGGGACGAAGCCGUUUCGGGUGUAAACCGCUGUCAGUGGAGAAGAGAAUGGACGGUACCCACUGAGGAAGCCUCGGCUAACUACGUGCCAGCAGCCGC